RNAcentral lists this ribosomal RNA (465 nucleotides) under uncultured bacterium. RNAcentral describes it as "bacterial SSU rRNA". It matches the Rfam family "Bacterial small subunit ribosomal RNA", at positions 34 to 507 of the family's 1533-position model. The record is from RNAcentral.
CGCUGGCGGCGUGCUUAACACAUGCAAGUCGAACGGUGACGAGGAGCUUGCUCCUCUGAUCAGUGGCGAACGGGUGAGUAACACGUGAGCAACCUGCCCCAGACUCUGGGAUAACAGUUGGAAACAGCUGCUAAUACCGGAUACGAGACGGAGAGGCAUCUCUACCGUCUGGAAAGUUUUUCGGUCUGGGAUGGACUCGCGGCCUAUCAGCUAGUUGGUGAGGGUAAAUGGGCUCACCCAAAGGCGACGACGGGUAGCCGGCCUGAGAGGGCGACCGGCCACACUGGGACUGAGACACGGCCCAGACUCCUACGGGAGGCAGUAGUGGGGAAUAUUGCACAAUGGGCGAAAGCCUGAUGCAGCGACGCCGCGUGAGGGAUGAAGGCCUUCGGGUUGUAAACCUCUUUCAGCAGGGAAGAAGCGAAAGUGACGGUACCUGCAGAAGAAGCACCGGCUAACUACGUG